Molecule: small nuclear RNA, 106 nt
Filed under: Phocoena sinus (vaquita)
Lineage: Eukaryota; Metazoa; Chordata; Mammalia; Artiodactyla; Phocoenidae
Source: RNAcentral
GUGCCCGCUUCGGCAGCACAUAUACUAAAACUGGAACUAUACAGAGAAGAUAGCAUGGCCCCUGCACAAGGAUGACGCGCAAAUUCAUGAAGCGUUCCAUAUUUCU